CCUACGGGGGGCUGCAGUGGGGAAUAUUGCACAAUGGGCGCAAGCCUGAUGCAGCCGUGCCGCGUGUGUGAAGAAGGCCUUCGGGUUGUAAAGCACUUUCAGCGGGGAGGAAGGCGGUGAGGUUAAUAACCUCAUCGAUUGACGUUACCCGCAGAAGAAGCACCGGCUAACUCCGUGCCAGCAGCCGCGGUAAUACGGAGGGUGCAAGCGUUAAUCGGAAUUACUGGGCGUAAAGCGCACGCAGGCGGUCUGUCAAGUCGGAUGUGAAAUCCCCGGGCUCAACCUGGGAACUGCAUUCGAAACUGGCAGGCUAGAGUCUUGUAGAGGGGGGUAGAAUUCCAGGUGUAGCGGUGAAAUGCGUAGAGAUCUGGAGGAAUACCGGUGGCGAAGGCGGCCCCCUGGACAAAGACUGACGCUCAGGUGCGAAAGCGUGGGGAGCAAACAGGAUUAGAUACCCCGGUAGUC
Molecule: ribosomal RNA, 465 nt
Filed under: uncultured Klebsiella sp.
Lineage: Bacteria; Pseudomonadati; Pseudomonadota; Gammaproteobacteria; Enterobacterales; Enterobacteriaceae
Description: bacterial SSU rRNA
Rfam family: Bacterial small subunit ribosomal RNA
Source: RNAcentral